GAGCCUGCAGCUGCAGCUCCUGAGCAAGAGCAAGUGGAGGCCACAGCAACUGAUUCAGAGCCCAAAACAGAGGAGGAACCAGCUCCCAGUGAAUGAAGUGCAACAUGAAACGACUGCACAGAUGAGUUUGUUGGAAAUGUCGUACCUUGUUGUAUGUGUGAGUGAAAGCAUGUGUAGGUGUUAUUGUGUGAAAGACAUCGCCUUGUUGCCAAGAUGCAGAUAAAAUGCUUUCAGUCAGGGUUCCUCAGCCAUCACUGAGCCUUGUUCCCCUCAUGACGGUGUAUGGCUGCAAUUUCUGCUAGCAAACUGUACAUAUACAGAGUUCUACGGCACUUAGUUUUUAUUUUCAGAAGAUGUCAUCAGUUCAGGAUAUCUUAAAUAUAUAAACUGUCUCUGAAAUGUCUUUCAUUAUCUUAUAGAAAUUUAUAAUCGCAGAUUUUCUUGAUUUAACUUUUCAACAAACAUAAUUCUAAGGAAACCAAAGCCAAAUUUGAUUUAUUAAACUGUUAUUUUUUGGGUAUAAAAAUCAUAUGGUAGCUGGCUUUGAUUUUAUAACCAUGUUUGUAAUGAAUAUGAAGAGCUUUGAGGACUGUAAACAUUAAUAUAAGAGCACAAAUGAGAUAAAAGUAUACAUGAAAGGUUUGUUUCUGAUGUGUCAGAAUUUCU
Long non-coding RNA from Anarrhichthys ocellatus (wolf-eel), 666 nucleotides. RefSeq lists it as uncharacterized. Lineage: Eukaryota; Metazoa; Chordata; Actinopteri; Perciformes; Anarhichadidae. The record is from RefSeq and is a predicted model, not a curated record. The transcript has 3 exons.